GAUGAAGAACGUAGCGAAAUGCGAUAAGUAAUGUGAAUUGCAGAAUCCAGUGAAUCAUCGAAUCUUUGAACGCACAUUGCGCCCGCCAGCAUUCUGGCGGGCAUGCCUGUUCGAGCGUCAUUUCAACCCUCGACCUCCCCUUGGGGAGGUCGGCGUUGGGGACCGGCAGCACACCGCCGGCCCUGAAAUGGAGUGGCGGCCCGUCCGCGGCGACCUCUGCGUAGUAAUACAGCUCGCACCGGAACCCCGACGCGGCCACGCCGUAAAACACCCAACUCUUCUGAAGUUGACCUCGAAUCAGGUAGGAAUACCCGCUGAACUUAAGCAUAUCAAUAAGCGGAGGA
RNAcentral lists this unclassified non-coding RNA (344 nucleotides) under soil metagenome. Its description in RNAcentral is "partial contains 5.8S ribosomal RNA, internal transcribed spacer 2, and large subunit ribosomal RNA". The stretch from base 1 to 120 matches the Rfam family "5.8S ribosomal RNA", at positions 35 to 154 of the family's 154-position model. The record is from RNAcentral.